UACGUAGGGUGCGAGCGUUGUCCGGAAUUAUUGGGCGUAAAGAGCUUGUAGGCGGUUUGUCGUGUCUGCUGUGAAAAUCCGGGGCUCAACCCCGGACUUGCAGUGGGUACGGGCAGACUAGAGUGUGGUAGGGGAGACUGGAAUUCCUGGUGUAGCGGUGAAAUGCGCAGAUAUCAGGAGGAACACCGAUGGCGAAGGCAGGUCUCUGGGCCACUACUGACGCUGAGAAGCGAAAUCAUGGGGAGCGAACAGGAUUAGAUA
Molecule: ribosomal RNA, 261 nt
Filed under: uncultured prokaryote
Description: partial 16S ribosomal RNA
Rfam family: Bacterial small subunit ribosomal RNA
Source: RNAcentral